This 65-nucleotide transfer RNA is filed under the name Hermissenda emurai. RNAcentral's name for it is "tRNA-Ile". The record is from RNAcentral. Lineage: Eukaryota; Metazoa; Mollusca; Gastropoda; Nudibranchia; Glaucidae.
AGAAUAGCCGCCGGAUGAACGGAUGUCAUUGAUGUUGACAAACAUGAUUAAUUAUCGCUAUUUUU